RNAcentral lists this long non-coding RNA (1365 nucleotides) under Serinus canaria (Common canary). Its description in RNAcentral is "lncRNA (ENSSCAG00000010279.1)". The record is from RNAcentral. Lineage: Eukaryota; Metazoa; Chordata; Aves; Passeriformes; Fringillidae.
GGACACACUGGUCCCUCCCCUAUCCUGGUGUGACCUCCCCUCCGCACUUCCCGCUCGCUCUUUGGCGCCUGCCAGCGAAUUCCCACCGAGCCAAUUUUAGCUCCAGCCUGGCCCCGGCCCCAGCCAGAGGCUCCUCGGGGCCCUUUGUGCUGCCGGCAGCUCUGGCCCACUUAGGGAAUAAAGAGGGGGCUGUUCCUGCCCUGCCAGGCGCCCCUCGGGCAGGAUGUGCCCGCCUGGCCCUGGGCACCUGGCUCUGCAGGCCGGGCUGCACCUGAGCCCUGCGGGGUGAGAGGGAGGGAGGAGGAAGGAGCGGCUGUGAGGGGAAAGGAGUGAUCAGGGAAAAUGAGUUUGGUGUGGUCAGAGCCUGUUCCACGGGCUGGGCAGGGCAGAGUCCAGGUGAGAGCUCAAGGUGUCCAGGUGUGUGUGCCGUGUCCAGGUGUGUCUGUGGCAGUGCCCAGGUGUUUGUGCAGUGCCCAGGUGAGUGUGCCGUGUCCCUCGGAGUGGCAGUGCCCAGGUGUGUGUGCCAUGCCCAGGUGUGUGUGCCAUGCCCAGGUGUGUCUGUGGCAGUGCCCAGGUGUGUGUGCCAUGUCCAGGUGUGUGUGCCAUGCCCAGGUGUGUCUGUGCCAUGCCCAGGUGUGUGUGCCAUGCCCAGGUGUGUGUGCCGCGUCCCCCUGUGCUCAGCCGCUCUCUCCCCGGCCGUGUCCCCGCUGUCCCUCCGUGCGCGGGGCUCUGGCACCUCCGUGUGGCAGAGCCGGGAACAGCCCCGAGCGCGGGGACAGCGACAGCGCUGGGGACAGUGCGAGGACAGGGACACUGCGGGGACUGCCACUGUGCUGGGGACACCGCGUGAACUGUCACCACGUUGGGGACACUGCAGGAGCCGCGGCCACCUGGGCUCGAGGCUGCACAAGGUGGGCACCAGCCUCUGUCCCCUUGUCCCUCUGUCCCCAAGCCGGGCUGAGGAUCCAAAUCUCAGCAGCACCAGCAUUCCAAUGCUGGGGACACUGCCAUGGUGACACUGCCGUGGGGACAUCCUUUAUCCCAGGGGACAUCCCUCCAGCCCCUCCCCUGCCCUUUGUCAGUGCUUUAUUUAUUCCCAACUCCCUGGGGAGGGACAGGGGUCCCUGGGGAUGGAAAGGGGUCCCCAGUGAGGGACAGGGGUCCCUGGGAAGGACAGGGGUCCCUGGGGAGGGGUCCCAGCUCCAGGGCUGGGCCAGGCUGUGCUGCAGAGGGACUGGAAGCAGAUGUGUCCCCUCCCCACAGCUGCAGCUCUUCCUGUGUCUCUCUUCCAUUUCUUUUCCUUUUGUUGUUGUUUCAUUUUGUUUUUUAAAGACUGUAAAUAUAGAUAGAGCUUUAUUUUGUUAA